CCUACGGGUGGCAGCAGUGGGGAAUAUUGCACAAUGGGCGCAAGCCUGAUGCAGCCAUGCCGCGUGUGUGAAGAAGGCCUUCGGGUUGUAAAGCACUUUCAGCGGGGAGGAAGGCGUUAAGGUUAAUAACCUUGGCGAUUGACGUUACCCGCAGGAGAAGCACCGGCUAACUCCGUGCCAGCAGCCGCGGUAAUACGGAGGGUGCAAGCGUUAAUCGGAAUUACUGGGCGUAAAGCGCACGCAGGCGGUCUGUCAAGUCGGAUGUGAAAUCCCCGGGCUCAACCUGGGAACUGCAUUCGAAACUGGCAGGCUAGAGUCUUGUAGAGGGGGGUAGAAUUCCAGGUGUAGCGGUGAAAUGCGUAGAGAUCUGGAGGAAUACCGGUGGCGAAGGCGGCCCCCUGGACAAAGACUGACGCUCAGGUGCGAAAGCGUGGGGAGCAAACAGGAUUAGAUACCCGUGUAGUC
RNAcentral lists this ribosomal RNA (465 nucleotides) under uncultured Klebsiella sp. Its description in RNAcentral is "bacterial SSU rRNA". It matches the Rfam family "Bacterial small subunit ribosomal RNA", at positions 338 to 795 of the family's 1533-position model. Lineage: Bacteria; Pseudomonadati; Pseudomonadota; Gammaproteobacteria; Enterobacterales; Enterobacteriaceae. The record is from RNAcentral.